Molecule: transfer RNA, 61 nt
Filed under: human gut metagenome
Rfam family: tRNA
About the family: Transfer RNA (tRNA) molecules are approximately 80 nucleotides in length.
Source: RNAcentral
CUAUAGCCAAGUGGUAAGGCACCGGAUUCUGACUCCGGCAUCGUUAGUUCGAAUCUAACUA